UACGUAGGGUGCAAGCGUUGUCCGGAAUUAUUGGGCGUAAAGAGCUCGUAGGCGGUUUGUCGCGUCUGCCGUGAAAGUCCGGGGCUCAACUCCGGAUCUGCGGUGGGUACGGGCAGACUAGAGUGAUGUAGGGGAGACUGGAAUUCCCGGUGUAGUGGUGAAAUGCGUAGAUAUCGGGAGGAACACCAGUGGCGAAGGCGGCCCCCUGGGCCGCUCCUGACGCUGAGACGCGAAGGCCAGGGUAGCGAACGGG
Molecule: ribosomal RNA, 253 nt
Filed under: uncultured bacterium
Lineage: Bacteria
Description: partial 16S ribosomal RNA
Rfam family: Bacterial small subunit ribosomal RNA
Source: RNAcentral